Molecule: long non-coding RNA, 1879 nt
Organism: Falco peregrinus (peregrine falcon)
Lineage: Eukaryota; Metazoa; Chordata; Aves; Falconiformes; Falconidae
Exons: 2
Source: RefSeq, a predicted model, not a curated record
CCGCCCCCCGGCCGCCGCUCCGCCCCCACCGGCCGCGGGCGGGGCCGCACCGGGCCGGAGCGGGGCGGCCGGGGCGGCUGCGGCGGCCGCUGGAGGGGGCGGCCCGGUCCGGGCCCCGGCCCCGGCCCCCGGCCCCCGGCCCCGCCUCCGCCAGCGGCAGGGCGCGGCACCCGCCCGGGCUUCUCACCGGGAGGCAGGGCCCUGCUGGGCGAGGCCGCUGCCUCGGGGCCGGGCCCGGGGGGAGGGAGGUGCGGGGGCCUGCGGUGCUGGGCGGGUGGCAGCACGGCGUUGAGGAGAAACUACCGUGAACUGGGCGUUUGGAAAGGCUUGCCGUUGCGGCCCACCUGCCUUUGAGCUUAGGCCUCUUCCAGGCCUGCGAGAAGCCCGGGACGGUGUGGGGCUGCAGCUCCGUGGUCAGCGGGAAUGAAUCCCAUCAACGCCCUCCGUGUGCCUGCGCCGUGCUGGAUGCACCGUAAAGAGUUGGUGAGGAUGAUUGCGGUAUCUCUGGGGAAGAAGAUGCGGUAUCUUUGCAGACCGGUCAAGGAAAGGGAUUGCACAUGAGUUGGGCUGCCUCGGGGAAAGCAGAGCUGGCUGAGGAAGAAGCAGUCAUUUGGGUGCAAAGAGCCUGAGUAACUCCGAGGCCGAUUGCCCUCAGGGGAACGGACUUGGACAUCAGGGAAUGGACUUGGACAUAACGGUGAACCAUCACAGGAGUCUGCUGAGGAUUGCUGAGGACGGGACUGAGACUGGGAAUAACCAGCUUGUGGGGUUUGAUGGAUGUCCUGGAAAAUGUGAGCCUCUUGUCUGACCCACCUGCCAGAUUGAAGCGAUUUAACCAGAUCUUUCAAUCUCAAGCAGUGGCUGCUUUGGAGAAGGCGGAGGAUUUGGCAUGUCAUGUUUCAGGGCAGUUCGGAGGAGAAGGGACACUCUGGGUCAGAGCUUUGGCCACGCUGCUGAAUCCCCGUGGUGGUUAACCUGAGCUGGCCCACGCUGCCUGGCCCUCAGGCUGUGAGGUGCUGGGCACAUCCCUUGGCUGCAGGAUGAGCUUCCCCAGCUGGUGAUGGCAGCAGGGCAGCUCCCACUUGGUCCCAGCAAUUAUACCACCUGCCUUGGCCUUGCCUUUAUCCAUGAGUGCAGCAAGGAGUUCUCAUGCAAAACUGCUUUCUGGCUGAGAGUACAGGUGACGAAUAGGGCUGGGUCUUUUCGGAGAAAAUCCUGUAACAGCCCAAACGACCAAAGUGGGGUACCCCUUCCACAGAUGGGACCUGCGGGGCAUGCUGCAUGAUGGUUGGAAGCCUGUCGGGUGCCGCACAGCUUGUGGGUCCCAGCAUUUAAAGGGACCCAAGAUUAUCUGUGUUAUCCUCUGUUUACGGUGCUAGCUCUAAUAAUUAGCAUAUUUGGUGAUACUUUAUGGAGUCUUAGUGCCUUUCUUACUGGGAUCGUAGUGAGCCGGCACCUCCCAGUGCAAAAUAGCUGCCUCUUCCCUGACUUGCUAAUACAGGAGGUUUUCUCAUUACACUGAUCUGGCAAAGACAGCGAGUAAUAAUGUUUCUUGAUUUUGCUGUCUUUGAUUUUAGAAUGAACUUCUUCCACCCUGGAGGGACAGAACAGACAUGCAGAUUUUCAAGAGCAUGCAGUUCUCCACAGAAUUUGUUCAGGAUUUGCCUGACACUGGAAUGUUCAGUUAAACCCCACUUGAUAUUUGUCAUCUGUUAAUGGCUUUGGAUAUAAUUUUUUCAUAGAAAGAAACAUUCUGUAAGCUGAAUUUCUGCACCAGACUGCUUUACCUGCUCCUCUGAUGGCAGCAGUUAAAAGAUUUUCCUAUGCAGCUUACUAAAGAUGAAUAAAAAUGAAUGCAAAAAAAAAAGCAUUUAAAGGA